UACGUAGGGGGCAAGCGUUGUCCGGAUACAUUGGGCGUAAAGAGCGUGUAGGCGGCCAGGUAGGUCGGUUGUGAAAACUGGAGGCUCAACCUUCAGAGGUCGACCGAAACCAUCUGGCUAGAGUCCGGGAGAGGAGAGUGGAAUUCCUGGUGUAGCGGUGAAAUGCGCAGAUAUCAGGAAGAACACCCGUGGCGAAAGCGGCUCUCUGGAACGGUACUGACGCUGAGACGCGAAAGCGUGGGGAGCGAACAGG
RNAcentral lists this ribosomal RNA (253 nucleotides) under uncultured bacterium. Its description in RNAcentral is "partial 16S ribosomal RNA". It matches the Rfam family "Bacterial small subunit ribosomal RNA", at positions 524 to 776 of the family's 1533-position model. The record is from RNAcentral.